AGCGAACGCUGGCGGCAGGCUUAACACAUGCAAGUCGAGCGGGCCUUUCGGGGUCAGCGGCGGACGGGUGAGUAACGCGUGGGAACGUGCCCUCUGGUUCGGAAUAACUCAGGGAAACUUGAGCUAAUACCGGAUACGCCCUUUUGGGGAAAGGCUUGCUGCCGGAGGAUCGGCCCGCGUCUGAUUAGCUAGUUGGUGAGGUAACGGCUCACCAAGGCGACGAUCAGUAGCUGGUCUGAGAGGAUGAUCAGCCACACUGGGACUGAGACACGGCCCAGACUCGUACGCGAGGGAGCAGUGGGGAAUAUUAGACAAGGGGCGCAAGCGUGAUCCAGCCAUGCCGCGUGAGUGAUGAAGGGCUUAGGGUUGUAAAGCCGUUUUAUCCGGGACGAUAAUGACGGUACCGGAUGAAUAAGCCCCGGCUAACUUCGUG
Molecule: ribosomal RNA, 433 nt
Filed under: uncultured bacterium
Lineage: Bacteria
Description: partial 16S ribosomal RNA
Rfam family: Bacterial small subunit ribosomal RNA
Source: RNAcentral